RNAcentral lists this ribosomal RNA (253 nucleotides) under uncultured bacterium. RNAcentral's name for it is "partial 16S ribosomal RNA". It matches the Rfam family "Bacterial small subunit ribosomal RNA", at positions 524 to 776 of the family's 1533-position model. The record is from RNAcentral.
UACGGGGGGGGCAAGCGUUGUUCGGAAUUACUGGGCGUAAAGGGCUCGUAGGCGGCCAACUAAGUCAGACGUGAAAUCCCUCGGCUCAACUGAGGAACUGCCUUUGAAACUGUCGGGCUUGAGGCCGGGAGGGGGUAGCGGAAUUCCCAGUGUAGCGGUGAAAUGCGUAGAUAUUGGGAGGAACACCGGUGGCGAAGGCGGCUACCUGGACCGGUUCUGACGCUGAUGCGCGAAAGCGUGGGUAGCAAGCAGG